GACGAGGGACCCUAGCGUUGUUCGGAAUCAUUGGGCGUAAAGCGGAUGCAGGUGGCCUUGUAAGUCAGGUGUGAAAGCCCAGAGCUUAACUCUGGAAGUGCAUUUGAUACUGCGAUGCUUGAGUGCCGGAGAGGUUACUAGAAUUCCAGGUGUAGUGGUGAAAUACGUAGAUAUCUGGAGGAAUACCAGAGGCGAAGGCGGGUAACUGGCCGGACACUGACACUCAGAUCCGAAAGCGUGGGGAUCAAACAGG
Molecule: ribosomal RNA, 253 nt
Filed under: uncultured bacterium
Lineage: Bacteria
Description: partial 16S ribosomal RNA
Rfam family: Bacterial small subunit ribosomal RNA
Source: RNAcentral